GACGAACGCUGGCGGCGUGCCUAACGCAUGCAAGUCGAGCGGAGUCAGUAAGAGGAAGUUUUCGGAUGGAAUCUUAUUGAUUUAGCGGCGGACGGGUGAGUAACGCGUGAGCGACCAACCUUGCACAGGGGGAUAACGGACCGAAAGGUUCACUAAUACCGCAUGAGACCACGGUGUUGCAUGACACAGGGGUCAAAGGAGCAAUCCGGUGCAAGACGGGCUCGCGUCCGAUUAGGUAGUUGGAGGGGUAACGGCCCACCAAGCCUAUGAUCGGUAGCCGACCUGGGAGGGUGAUCGGCCACAUUGAAACUGAGAUACGGUCCAAACUCCUACGGGAGGCAGCAGUGGGGAAUAUUGGGCAAUGGGGGAAACCCUGACCCAGCAACGCCGCGUGAAGGAAGAAGGUUUUCGGAUUGUAAACUUCUGUCCUUGGUGAAGAGAAGAAGACGGUAGCCAAGGAGGAAGCCCCGGCUAACUACGUGCCAGCCGCCGCGGUAA
Molecule: ribosomal RNA, 498 nt
Filed under: uncultured bacterium
Lineage: Bacteria
Description: partial 16S ribosomal RNA
Rfam family: Bacterial small subunit ribosomal RNA
Source: RNAcentral